Molecule: ribosomal RNA, 1343 nt
Filed under: uncultured bacterium
Lineage: Bacteria
Description: 16S ribosomal RNA
Rfam family: Bacterial small subunit ribosomal RNA
Source: RNAcentral
GACGAACGCUGGCGGCGUGCUUAACACAUGCAAGUCGAACGGAAAGGCCCUGCUUUUGUGGGGUGCUCGAGUGGCGAACGGGUGAGUAACACGUGAGUAACCUGCCCUUGACUUUGGGAUAACUUCAGGAAACUUGGGCUAAUACCGGAUAGGAGCUCCUGCUGCAUGGUGGGGGUUGGAAAGUUUCGGCGGUUGGGGAUGGACUCGCGGCUUAUCAGCUUGUUGGUGGGGUAGUGGCUUACCAAGGCUUUGACGGGUAGCCGGCCUGAGAGGGUGACCGGCCACAUUGGGACUGAGAUACGGCCCAGACUCCUACGGGAGGCAGCAGUGGGGAAUAUUGCACAAUGGGCGGAAGCCUGAUGCAGCAACGCCGCGUGCGGGAUGACGGCCUUCGGGUUGUAAACCGCUUUCGCCUGUGACGAAGCGUGAGUGACGGUAAUGGGUAAAGAAGCACCGGCUAACUACGUGCCAGCAGCCGCGGUGAUACGUAGGGUGCGAGCGUUGUCCGGAUUUAUUGGGCGUAAAGGGCUCGUAGGUGGUUGAUCGCGUCGGAAGUGUAAUCUUGGGGCUUAACCCUGAGCGUGCUUUCGAUACGGGUUGACUUGAGGAAGGUAGGGGAGAAUGGAAUUCCUGGUGGAGCGGUGGAAUGCGCAGAUAUCAGGAGGAACACCAGUGGCGAAGGCGGUUCUCUGGGCCUUUCCUGACGCUGAGGAGCGAAAGCGUGGGGAGCGAACAGGCUUAGAUACCCUGGUAGUCCACGCUGUAAACGGUGGGUACUAGGUGUGGGGUCCAUUCCACGGGUUCCGUGCCGUAGCUAACGCUUUAAGUACCCCGCCUGGGGAGUACGGCCGCAAGGCUAAAACUCAAAGGAAUUGACGGGGCCCCGCACAAGCGGCGGAGCAUGCGGAUUAAUUCGAUGCAACGCGUAGAACCUUACCUGGGUUUGACAUGGAUCGGGAGCGCUCAGAGAUGGGUGUGCCUCUUUUGGGGUCGGUUCACAGGUGGUGCAUGGCUGUCGUCAGCUCGUGUCGUGAGAUGUUGGGUUAAGUCCCGCAACGAGCGCAACCCUUGUUCACUGUUGCCAGCACGUUAUGGUGGGGACUCAGUGGAGACCGCCGGGGUCAACUCGGAGGAAGGUGGGGAUGACGUCAAGUCACCAUGCCCCUUAUGUCCAGGGCUUCACGCAUGCUACAAUGGCUGGUACAGAGAGUGGCGAGCCUGUGAGGGUGAGCGAAUCUCGGAAAGCCGGUCUCAGUUCGGAUUGGGGUCUGCAACUCGACCUCAUGAAGUCGGAGUCGCUAGUAAUCGCAGAUCAGCAACGCUGCGGUGAAUACGUUCCCGGG